CUGCAGUUCAUUCUAGAUAGGAUCCGUGCACGCCUAGCGGGAUGGAAAGGACGUCUGCUGUCAAUCGUCGGCCGGAGGGUUUUAGUCAGAAGCGUCCUGACGGCAUUGCCGACGUACGCAUUGUCCGUCCUCAGGGCGCCAGUUAAAUUUUUCAAGGACAUUGACAAGGCGCGCCGGCGUUUCCUCUGGGCGGGGGAUGAGGAGCUGAACGGUGGUAAAUGCAAAGUAAGCUGGCCCCAAGUGUGCUCGCCGGUGCAGCAUGGAGGUUUGGGCAUUCUAAACAUGAUUAAAUUUAGUUGUGCUCUUCGGCUAAGGUGGUUAUGGCUACCCUGGCAGCAGCCCUGCCGGCCAUGGGUUGGCACCCCGGUGCCAUGCGACGAGAAGGAUCACAAGUUGUUCAACCAGGCAACUAGAGUCACAAUCGGCGACGGAGCCACGGCAUCAUUCUGGCAAAAUCAUUGGUUGGAUGUUGGAGCUCUCAGGCAAGUCUUCCCAACCCUGUAUGCUCAUUCUCAGAAAGAACAGAUCGGUGGCCGCUGCCCUGGCAAAUCACACCUGGGUAAAGGAUCUCAGGCAUGGAGAUCAUGCAGCAAUCGUCACAGAUUUCCUCUCCCUCUGGCGGCUGCUGGCGGCCCAAAAUGUGACCCUAACAGCAGGCUCCGGAGACUCGAUCACAUGGUCAGAGAGUAG
Molecule: ribosomal RNA, 690 nt
Filed under: Triticum aestivum (bread wheat)
Lineage: Eukaryota; Viridiplantae; Streptophyta; Magnoliopsida; Poales; Poaceae
Description: partial small subunit ribosomal RNA
Source: RNAcentral